CAGAUCCCUAUGGGGUGCAGCAGUAGGGAAUAUUGCUCAAUGGGGGAAACCCUGAAGCAGCAACGCCGCGUGGAGGAUGAAGGUUUUCGGAUUGUAAACUCCUUUUGUUAGAGAAGAUAAUGACGGUAUCUAACGAAUAAGCACCGGCUAACUCCGUGCCAGCAGCCGCGGUAAUACGGAGGGUGCAAGCGUUACUCGGAAUCACUGGGCGUAAAGAGCGCGUAGGCGGGAUAGCAAGUCAGAUGUGAAAUCCUAUGGCUUAACCAUAGAACUGCAUUUGAAACUGUUAUUCUAGAGUAUGGGAGAGGUAGGUGGAAUUCUUGGUGUAGGGGUAAAAUCCGUAGAGAUCAAGAGGAAUACUCAUUGCGAAGGCGACCUGCUAGAACAUAACUGACGCUGAUGCGCGAAAGCGUGGGGAGCAAACAGGAUUAGAUACCCAAGUAGUCC
This 447-nucleotide ribosomal RNA is filed under the name Vibrio parahaemolyticus. Its description in RNAcentral is "bacterial SSU rRNA". It matches the Rfam family "Bacterial small subunit ribosomal RNA", at positions 332 to 796 of the family's 1533-position model. The record is from RNAcentral. Lineage: Bacteria; Pseudomonadati; Pseudomonadota; Gammaproteobacteria; Vibrionales; Vibrionaceae.